GAUGAACGCUGGCGGCGUGCCUAAUACAUGCAAGUCGAGCGAACGGACGAGAAGCUUGCUUCUCUGAUGUUAGCGGCGGACGGGUGAGUAACACGUGGAUAACCUACCUAUAAGACUGGGAUAACUUCGGGAAACCGGAGCUAAUACCGGAUAAUAUUUUGAACCGCAUGGUUCAAAAGUGAAAGACGGUCUUGCUGUCACUUAUAGAUGGAUCCGCGCUGCAUUAGCUGGUUGGUAAGGUAACGGCUUACCAAGGCAACGAUGCAUAGCCGACCUGAGAGGGUGAUCGGCCACACUGGAACUGAGACACGGUCCAGACUCCUACGGGAGGCAGCAGUAGGGAAUCUUCCGCAAUGGGCGAAAGCCUGACGGAGCAACGCCGCGUGAGUGAUGAAGGUCUUCGGAUCGUAAAACUCUGUUAUUAGGGAAGAACAUAUGUGUAAGUAACUGUGCACAUCUUGACGGUACCUAAGCAGAAAGCCACGGCUAACUACGU
Molecule: ribosomal RNA, 496 nt
Filed under: uncultured bacterium
Lineage: Bacteria
Description: partial 16S ribosomal RNA
Rfam family: Bacterial small subunit ribosomal RNA
Source: RNAcentral